CCAUUGGAGAGUUUGAUCCUGGCUCAGGACGAACGCUGGCGGCGUGCCUAACACAUGCAAGUCGUACGGGCCUGGGGGCAACUCCAGGUCAGUGGCGGACGGGUGCGUAACACGUAAGCAACGUGUCUGACGGUGGGGGAUAGCCGGCCCAACGGCCGGGUAAUACCGCAUGAAGUGCCCCGGGGCAGCCCGGGUCAUGAAAGCCGGGGCAACCUGGCGCCGACGGAGCGGCUUGCGGCCUAUCAGCUAGUUGGUGAGGUCAUGGCUCACCAAGGCGACGACGGGUAGCUGGUCUGAG
This is a non-coding RNA of Gemmatimonadetes bacterium GWC2_71_9, 298 nucleotides long. The record is from Rfam. NCBI's taxonomy places the organism in Bacteria, Pseudomonadati, Gemmatimonadota.